AGGACGAACGCUGGCGGCGUGCUUAACACAUGCAAGUCGGACGGUAAGGCCCCUUUCGGGGGGUACACGAGUGGCGAACGGGUGAGUAACAUUUGAGGAACGUGCCCUUGCUUUCGGUAUAGCUCCAGGAAACUGGUGGUAAUCCCGAAUAUGAGCCUGGCCUGCAUGGGUCCCCAAUUGGAAAGCUUUAUGCGGUCAGGGAUCGUCUCGCGGCCUAUCAGCUUGUUGGUGGGGUGGUGGCCUACCAAGGCAGCGACGGGUAGCCGGCCUGAGAGGGUGACCGGCCACAUUGGGACUGAGAUACGGCCCAGACUCCUACGGGAGAAAGCAGUGGGGAAUAUUGCACAAUGGGCGCAAGCCUGAUGCAGCAACGCCGCGUGCGGGAUGACGGCCUUCGGGUUGUAAACCGCUUUCAUCCAUGACGAAGCGCGACGGUAGUGGGAGAAGAAGCACCGGCUAACUACGUGCCAGCAGCCGCGGUGAUACGUAGGGUGCGAGCGUUGUCCGGAAUUAUUGGGCGUAAAGAGCUUGUAGGCGGUUGAUCACGUCGGAAGUGAAAUUUUAGGGCUUAACUCUGGGCUUGCUUUCGAUACGGGUUGACUUGAGGAGCUUACCCUGAGAAUGGAACUCUCGGUGGAGCGGUGGAAUGCGCAGAUAUCGGGAAGAACACCAGUGGCGAAGGCGGUUCUCUGGACAGGGCCUGACGCUGAGGGGCGAAAGCGUGGGGAGCAAACAGGCUUAGAUACCCUGGUAGUCCACGCCGUAAACGGUGGGUACUAGGUGUGGGUCCCUUCCACGGGGUCCGUGCCGUAGCUAACGCAUUAAGUACCCCGCCUGGGGAGUACGGCCGCAAGGCUAAAACUCAAAGGAAUUGACGGGGCCUUGCACAAGCGGCGGAGCAUGCGGAUUAAUUCGAUGCAACGCGAAGAAGAGGGGU
This 937-nucleotide ribosomal RNA is filed under the name Propionibacterium freudenreichii. Its description in RNAcentral is "bacterial SSU rRNA". It matches the Rfam family "Bacterial small subunit ribosomal RNA", at positions 26 to 980 of the family's 1533-position model. Lineage: Bacteria; Bacillati; Actinomycetota; Actinomycetes; Propionibacteriales; Propionibacteriaceae. The record is from RNAcentral.